RNAcentral lists this transfer RNA (73 nucleotides) under Stegodyphus mimosarum. It matches the Rfam family "tRNA". Rfam says of the family: Transfer RNA (tRNA) molecules are approximately 80 nucleotides in length. Their secondary structure includes four short double-helical elements and three loops (D, anti-codon, and T loops). Further hydrogen bonds mediate the characteristic L-shaped molecular structure. tRNAs have two regions of fundamental functional importance: the anti-codon, which is responsible for specific mRNA codon recognition, and the 3' end, to which the tRNAs corresponding amino acid is attached (by aminoacyl-tRNA synthetases). tRNAs cope with the degeneracy of the genetic code in two manners: having more than one tRNA (with a specific anti-codon) for a particular amino acid; and 'wobble' base-pairing, i.e. permitting non-standard base-pairing at the 3rd anti-codon position. The record is from Rfam by way of RNAcentral. Lineage: Eukaryota; Metazoa; Arthropoda; Arachnida; Araneae; Eresidae.
GCCUUUGUGGUGUAGUGGUCAGCACGCUUGACGCGUAACCGAGAGGUCCAUGGUUCGAUUCCCGGCGAAGACA